Molecule: signal recognition particle RNA, 295 nt
Filed under: Carlito syrichta (Philippine tarsier)
Lineage: Eukaryota; Metazoa; Chordata; Mammalia; Primates; Tarsiidae
Description: Metazoan signal recognition particle RNA (ENSTSYG00000027254.1)
Rfam family: Metazoan signal recognition particle RNA
About the family: The signal recognition particle (SRP) is a universally conserved ribonucleoprotein. It is involved in the co-translational targeting of proteins to membranes.
Source: RNAcentral
GUCUUGUGCGGUAGAGCCCAUCUAUAGAACAAGCUACUCAAGAGGCUGAGGCAGGAGGAUCGCAUGAGCCUAGGAGCUCUGGGCUGUAGUACACUAUGCCAGUCAAGUGUCCACACUAAGUUUGGUCUCAGAAUGGUGGCCUCCUGUGAGCAGGAGACCACCAGGUUGCCUAAGGAGGGGUGAAUCAUCUCAGGUCAGAAACAAAACAGGUCAAAACUCCCACGCUGAUCAGUAAUAGGAUAGCACCCAUGAAUGGCCACUGCACUCCAGCUUGGGCAAUAGUGACACCCUCUCU